AUUUAAGUAGUUUAAAAAAAAUUUUGAUUUGUGGUGUCAAAGAUGCGAGAAAUAUCGCCUUAGAUU
This 66-nucleotide transfer RNA is filed under the name Acroneuria carolinensis. RNAcentral describes it as "tRNA-His". The record is from RNAcentral. Lineage: Eukaryota; Metazoa; Arthropoda; Insecta; Plecoptera; Perlidae.